Long non-coding RNA from Chinchilla lanigera (long-tailed chinchilla), 469 nucleotides. RefSeq lists it as uncharacterized. The record is from RefSeq and is a predicted model, not a curated record. The transcript is spliced from 3 exons. Lineage: Eukaryota; Metazoa; Chordata; Mammalia; Rodentia; Chinchillidae.
CUCCCUGCUACCGGACAUUGAAGCUUCUGCAGUGUGGUCACGCAGAAUUGGAAAAUGGCCUAAAAUGAGGUGGGAGGGUUCUCUACCAGGAGCGUCCCCAAGCCCACGCCUGGAAAAACCUUGGACUCCUUACCGGUGCGGAUGGGGCAGUUUGUUGAAGAGGAACAGCAGCUGCACCCUUUGAGAGCCUGCCACCUCCCCGGAACUUUCAGAGACGUCCAGGUUUUACUGUGAAACCCAGCGAGCGGGUGAUUGGCAGGCAGACCGCGGAGGCCCCUCGGGAAGCGCGGGCGGGGGCACAGCCUUGCGGGCCUGGCUACCAGCGCAGCCCCGGCUGAGAAGGGAAGCUGAGCGCGGCUGAGUCCACCCAGCGCGAGCUACCGGGCAAACAGAGGCGGCAGAAGCGUAAAAAAAGCAAGCCUUAGUUGAUCUACUGUCUUCUAUUUCUUUGCUGAAAGAAACAGUUAAU